CCUANGGGGGGCUGCAGUGAGGAAUAUUGCACAAUGGGCGAAAGCCUGAUGCAGCGACGCCGCGUGGAGGAUGAAGGUCUUCGGAUCGUAAACUCCUGUCGAAUGGGACGAAUGGCUCGGCCGUGAAUAACGGUCGGGAAUGACGGUACCGUGAGAGGAAGCCCCGGCUAACUCCGUGCCAGCAGCCGCGGUAAUACGGGGGGGGCAAGCGUUGUUCGGAAUUACUGGGCGUAAAGGGCUCGUAGGUGGCCACCUAAGUCUGACGUGAAAUCCCUCGGCUCAACCGGGGAACUGCGUCGGAUACUGGGUGGCUUGAAGUCGGGAGAGGGACGUGGAAUUCCAGGUGUAGCGGUGAAAUGCGUAGAUAUCUGGAGGAACACCGGUGGCGAAGGCGGCGUCCUGGACCGAUAUUGACACUGAGGAGCGAAAGCCAGGGGAGCAAACGGGAUUAGAUACCCCANUANUC
Molecule: ribosomal RNA, 466 nt
Filed under: uncultured bacterium
Lineage: Bacteria
Description: bacterial SSU rRNA
Rfam family: Bacterial small subunit ribosomal RNA
Source: RNAcentral